RNAcentral lists this ribosomal RNA (534 nucleotides) under uncultured bacterium. RNAcentral describes it as "bacterial SSU rRNA". It matches the Rfam family "Bacterial small subunit ribosomal RNA", at positions 16 to 518 of the family's 1533-position model. The record is from RNAcentral.
UCCGUGGCUUAGGACGAACGCUGGCGGCGUGCCUAAUACAUGCAAGUCGAACGGUCUUUCUAUGGAAGCUUGCUUCCACUGAGAAGAUAGUGGCGAACGGGUGAGUAACACGUGGGUAACCUGCCCAUAAGAGGGGGAUAACAUCCGGAAACGGGUGCUAAUACCGCAUAGUUUUCUUGAUUGCAUGAUUGAGAAAGGAAAGACGGCCUUUGUGCUGUCGCUUAUGGAUGGACCCGCGGCGUAUUAGUUAGUUGGUGAGGUAACGGCUCACCAAGACGAUGAUACGUAGCCGACCUGAGAGGGUGAUCGGCCACAUUGGGACUGAGACACGGCCCAAACUCCGUACGGGAGGCAGCAGUAGGGAAUCUUCCGCAAUGGACGAAAGUCUGACGGAGCAACGCCGCGUGAGUGAAGGUAAAGGGUUUUCGGAUACGUAAAACUCUGUUGUCAGAGAAGAACAAGUUGGAGAGUAACUGCUCCAGCCUUGACGGUAUCUGACCAGAAAGCCACGGCUAACUACGUGCCAGCAGCGGC